Molecule: ribosomal RNA, 253 nt
Filed under: uncultured bacterium
Lineage: Bacteria
Description: partial 16S ribosomal RNA
Rfam family: Bacterial small subunit ribosomal RNA
Source: RNAcentral
UACGUAGGUGGCAAGCGUUGUCCGGAUUUACUGGGCGUAAAGAGCGCGCAGGCGGUCGUUCAAGUCGCGUGUGAAAGCCCCCGGCUCAACUGGGGAGGGUCACGCGAUACUGAUCGACUCGAAGGCAGGAGAGGGUAGUGGAAUUCCCGGUGUAGUGGUGAAAUGCGUAGAUAUCGGGAGGAACACCAGUGGCGAAGGCGGCAUCCUGGCCCUGUCCUGACGCUCAGGGGCGAAAGCGUGGGGAGCAAACCGG